GGGGAAUUUUCCGCAAUGGGCGCAAGCCUGACGGAGCAAGACCGCGUGCGGGACGAAGGCCUGUGGGUCGUAAACCGCUUUUGAUAGGGAAGAAUAACUGACGGUACCUAUCGAAUCAGCCUCGGCUAACUCCGUGCCAGCAGCCGCGGUAAUACGGAGGAGGCAAGCGUUAUCCGGAAUUAUUGGGCGUAAAGCGUCCGCAGGUGGUUGAGUAAGUCUGCUGUCAAAGCCCGAGGCUUAACCUUGGAGAGGCAGUGGAAACUACUGAACUAGAGUGUGGUAGGGGCAGAGGGAAUUCCCAGUGUAGCGGUGAAAUGCGUAGAUAUUGGGAAGAACACCGGUGGCGAAAGCGCUCUGCUGGGCCUGCACUGACACUGAGGGACGAAAGCUAGGGGAGCGAAAGGGAUUAGAUACCCCUGU
RNAcentral lists this ribosomal RNA (420 nucleotides) under uncultured Schizothrix sp. RNAcentral describes it as "bacterial SSU rRNA". It matches the Rfam family "Bacterial small subunit ribosomal RNA", at positions 356 to 791 of the family's 1533-position model. The record is from RNAcentral. Lineage: Bacteria; Bacillati; Cyanobacteriota; Cyanophyceae; Leptolyngbyales; Schizotrichaceae.